GCAGGAGUUUGAUUUCACAU
This 20-nucleotide microRNA is filed under the name Schistosoma japonicum. RNAcentral's name for it is "sja-miR-3480-5p". Lineage: Eukaryota; Metazoa; Platyhelminthes; Trematoda; Strigeidida; Schistosomatidae. The record is from miRBase by way of RNAcentral.